This 1463-nucleotide ribosomal RNA is filed under the name uncultured Klebsiella sp. RNAcentral's name for it is "bacterial SSU rRNA". It matches the Rfam family "Bacterial small subunit ribosomal RNA". Lineage: Bacteria; Pseudomonadati; Pseudomonadota; Gammaproteobacteria; Enterobacterales; Enterobacteriaceae. The record is from RNAcentral.
AUUGAACGCUGGCGGCAGGCCUAACACAUGCAAGUCGAGCGGUAGCACAGAGAGCUUGCUCUCGGGUGACGAGCGGCGGACGGGUGAGUAAUGUCUGGGAAACUGCCUGAUGGAGGGGGAUAACUACUGGAAACGGUAGCUAAUACCGCAUAACGUCGCAAGACCAAAGUGGGGGACCUUCGGGCCUCAUGCCAUCAGAUGUGCCCAGAUGGGAUUAGCUAGUAGGUGGGGUAACGGCUCACCUAGGCGACGAUCCCUAGCUGGUCUGAGAGGAUGACCAGCCACACUGGAACUGAGACACGGUCCAGACUCCUACGGGAGGCAGCAGUGGGGAAUAUUGCACAAUGGGCGCAAGCCUGAUGCAGCCAUGCCGCGUGUGUGAAGAAGGCCUUCGGGUUGUAAAGCACUUUCAGCGGGGAGGAAGGCGGUGAGGUUAAUAACCUCAUCGAUUGACGUUACCCGCAGAAGAAGCACCGGCUAACUCCGUGCCAGCAGCCGCGGUAGUACGGAGGGUGCAAGCGUUAAUCGGAAUUACUGGGCGUAAAGCGCACGCAGGCGGUCUGUCAAGUCGGAUGUGAAAUCCCCGGGCUCAACCUGGGAACUGCAUUCGAAACUGGCAGGCUAGAGUCUUGUAGAGGGGGGUAGAAUUCCAGGUGUAGCGGUGAAAUGCGUAGAGAUCUGGAGGAAUACCGGUGGCGAAGGCGGCCCCCUGGACAAAGACUGACGCUCAGGUGCGAAAGCGUGGGGAGCAAACAGGAUUAGAUACCCUGGUAGUCCACGCCGUAAACGAUGUCGAUUUGGAGGUUGUGCCCUUGAGGCGUGGCUUCCGGAGCUAACGCGUUAAAUCGACCGCCUGGGGAGUACGGCCGCAAGGUUAAAACUCAAAUGAAUUGACGGGGGCCCGCACAAGCGGUGGAGCAUGUGGUUUAAUUCGAUGCAACGCGAAGAACCUUACCUGGUCUUGACAUCCACAGAACUUAGCAGAGAUGCUUUGGUGCCUUCGGGAACUGUGAGACAGGUGCUGCAUGGCUGUCGUCAGCUCGUGUUGUGAAAUGUUGGGUUAAGUCCCGCAACGAGCGCAACCCUUAUCCUUUGUUGCCAGCGGUCCGGCCGGGAACUCAAAGGAGACUGCCAGUGAUAAACUGGAGGAAGGUGGGGAUGACGUCAAGUCAUCAUGGCCCUUACGACCAGGGCUACACACGUGCUACAAUGGCAUAUACAAAGAGAAGCGACCUCGCGAGAGCAAGCGGACCUCAUAAAGUAUGUCGUAGUCCGGAUUGGAGUCUGCAACUCGACUCCAUGAAGUCGGAAUCGCUAGUAAUCGUAGAUCAGAAUGCUACGGUGAAUACGUUCCCGGGCCUUGUACACACCGCCCGUCACACCAUGGGAGUGGGUUGCAAAAGAAGUAGGUAGCUUAACCUUCGGGAGGGCGCUUACCACUUUGUGAUUCAUGACUGGGGUGA